UACGUAGGGUGCGAGCGUUAAUCGGAAUUACUGGGCGUAAAGCGUGCGCAGGCGGCAGAGCAAGUCGAGUGUGAAAGCCCCGGGCUUAACUUGGGAAUUGCGCUCGAAACUACUUUGCUGGAGUGUGGCAGAGGAAGGUGGAAUUCCACGUGUAGCGGUGAAAUGCGUAGAGGUGUGGAGGAACACCAAUGGCGAAGGCAGCCUUCUGGGCCAACACUGACGCUCAUGCACGAAAGCGUGGGGAGCAAACAGG
Molecule: ribosomal RNA, 253 nt
Filed under: uncultured bacterium
Lineage: Bacteria
Description: partial 16S ribosomal RNA
Rfam family: Bacterial small subunit ribosomal RNA
Source: RNAcentral